GGGGAUGAUCGGUUUCGACAGGGGAUGUUGAAACAGGGGAAGCGAGCCGAGGAACGCGGCAAUGAUCUCGUUAACCACGUGUCGCAAAAAAAUAAUCGCCAACUCUAAGCGCGAUUCCCAGCAGUUCGCUCUCGCUGCCUAAUAAGCACCGAUAGCGCUUGGGUGUCAGACCGGGGAGUUCCCGACCCGGACCCUGGCAUAAUCUAGGGAACUCAACCGUCCGCCCGGGCUGCGGGGGCGGAUGGGAAAUCAAACAGCAGCUGGGCCUGUUGGCGGCUUGUCCGCGUGACCGCCAGGGCCGAGAAAAGCACAGCGGACUGCGCUCGGAGAAGCCCUGAAUUAACUCCACUGGACCCGGGUUCGAUUCCCGGCAUCUCCACCA
This is a non-coding RNA of 382 nucleotides. It matches the Rfam family "transfer-messenger RNA". From Rfam's summary of the family: Bacterial tmRNA, also known as 10Sa RNA or SsrA, is named for its dual tRNA and mRNA-like properties. Its role is to liberate the mRNA from a stalled ribosome. To accomplish this part of the tmRNA is used as a reading frame that ends in a translation stop signal. The record is from Rfam.